AGGGAUUUAAAAUUGUUAUAAACUAAAUCAUUAUAAAGUCAAGUUGGCAAUGCAAUAUGUUGAAUAUCAACAUCAACUUAUUGAAAAAUAGUAUUUAUUGUUGUACAAAGUUUAGCCAUUGUCUUUAGUUAUUCAGCACUUAGUCUUUUAAGUAUUUUGUUAGUAGGGCAAUGAAUCUCAUAUUAGUUAGGAACAAAAAGAAAAGAGAUUAUGAGUCUAUAUAAGAACCAUAUCCAACAUUGUUUAGAAAAAACAAGGGAAAGGAGACUUUUGGUCUAUAUAAUGAGCUAUGUUAUAAGACUUAUUUGCACCAACCAAAUAUUAGAUUUUCUAUUUGGCUUCUUUAAAUUCAUCUUCUUUUUCUUAUUUUGGAUUAUUGGGGGCUGUAGGUAAAUAUUAGUUUAGUGAUGUCGUGGGCUAUCGUGCACAUUAAAAAAUAAACUUUCAUAGCUACUUGAAAAUUAUCCUUAGUUGUUUAGUUGUUGGAAGGAAAUAUGGUAGUGUGGAAUUGCAUGUCUAGGAAAGGUUCUGGUUGAGGAAACGGUUGGUAUUUAAGAGUGUCCGUUGUGACCUAUCUUUUUUUCCUGGGAACCUACCUGAUGCAUUUUUCAUGAACUACUUUCACGAUUCCAAUAUUUAGUUGUGAGACAUUUGUUGACAAGAUGACAGACCCACAAGUUGUUAGCGAAAUGAAUAAGCUUAAUAACAAUUAUAAUUCAUGGUCAACUUGCAUAAUGUCUUGUAUAUGAGAGGUUGUUAAUGGCAGUGAAGUGAUGCAACCGAAAGCUGAGGAUGCAAGUGGCACACUAGGAAAAUGGAAAAUAAAAGCUGGCAAGACAAUGUUCGCCUUAAAGACAACCAUUUAAGAAGAUGUGUUAGAAUACAUAUGUGAUGCUAAAAUCCUGAAGGAAGCUUGGGAUAUGCUCCCCAAGUUAUUCUCUAAAAGGAAUUAUGCGAAGCUCUAACUUCUAACUUACCAGUAGCACAUGUUAGUAACACAAUAGUUUCCCCUCAACAUAAUAAGAUCAAGGUAGCACUUCAAAAUGUCUAUCAUAUGCUAGGUAUGAGAAAAAAAUCUUGUUUCAGUAGCACAACUAACAUCUACUGGUCAUGUUGUUUUGUUUGGUCCACAAGAUGUGAAAGUAUACCACAAUCUUGAGAAUAUAAAAGAGCUAAUGAUGAAAAGACAAAGAUUAAAGUAAGUCUAUGUGAUGUCAGAAAUUGUAUAUGUUGACACGGCAAGAAGAAAUAAGACGAUGGACUUGUGACUCAUGCAACUAAGUCACAUCAGCUAUUCUAAGAUAGAUGUGAUGGCGAUGAGAUCAAUGUUGAAAGGACUCCCAAAACUUGAAGUGAGAACAAACACAAUAUAUGUGGGUUGUCAAUAUGGAAAAGCACAUCAAUUGUUGUAUGAAGAGUCCAAAUUUAAAGUGAAAGAACCAUUAGAGUUAAUCCACUUUACGUGUCUAGGCAUGUUAAACAAGCCUUCAUGAGUGGAUGAAGUACAUGGUGACCUUCAUUGAUGAUUGUUCCAGUUAUUUUAUGAAGAAAAAUUUAAGGAUCUUUCAAAGUUCAACGAGUUUAAAGGGGUUGUGGAAGUAGAGGUUGUUAAAAGUGUCUGUUGUCUACACAUUGAUGACAAGGGAGAGUACAUCUCAAAUGAGUUUUUAGGUUUCGUUCAAGAAUGUCGGAUAUGCCAUCAAUUCACAUGUGCUAACACUCCACAAUAAAAUGGUGUGGCGGAAUGGAAAAGUAGGCACUUGGCCGAAAUAUGUCAAAGUGUGCUUCAUGCAAAGAAUGUUCCGAGUCUUUUUAUGGCAGAAACAAUGAAAACUGCAGCCUUCGUGACCAAUACUAGGCUUCCUUAAUAAAGGUUAAGUUUUCUUUCUAGUGCAGUAACCUUUUCAUGGUAUGGCAAAAGACAACCAUUAGUAUCUUUGUAAACAAUGGAAGCAGAGUACCGUGCAGGGGAGAUAAUAGCUCAAUAAAGCACUUGACUUUUGCAACUAUUGGUGGACUUGCAUCAACCGGUGGAGACUCCAAUUCCUUUAUAUUGCGACAACGUGUCAACAAUACGCUUGGCAGAGAAUCCAGUCUUUCAUGAAAGAACUAAACAUGUAGAUGUGCAUUAUCAUUUUAUUAGAGAAAGUCUUGCAAGAAGAAAUCAAGCUAGAACAUGUCAGACCGAAGACCAAGUUGCUGACCUGCUCAGAAAAGGCUUGUGUGGCAGCAAGCUCGGAAGCUUCUGUCAUCAGCUGGACAUGGUAAAAGUUGGUGUUAAGAGGGGAGUGUUGAAUAUCAACUCCAACUUAUUGGAAAAUAUAUUUUGCUAGUGUUUAUUGUUGUACAAAGCUUAGCUAUUUUCUUUAGGUUUUAGGUGCCGAGUUUGCUCUUAAGUCUUCUAUUAGUAGGGAAGUAAUGAAUCUCACAUUGUUCAGAACAAAAAGUGAAGUGAGUAUAAGUAUGUAGAAAGAUCAUAUCUCACUUUGCUUAAAAAAAUAAGGGAAAAGGAAUCUAAAGAAUUAGUAACACUAUAUAUAAUCUACUAUGCGUCAUGAGAAUACUACCCAUUCAAUUGUUUGUCUAACAAAUAGGUGACAAAAUUUUUUAUGUUUAAUAGAUGGAUUUGAAUCAAUUGAUGAUUAUAUAUGUAGUUUAUUAAUAACAUUAGUUAUUCUUUAUAACUAAAAAUAUGAUUAUAAAAUAAUAAUAUAUUGAAAAUAUCAUAAUAAUAAACUAUUUAUAAUUUAAAUGUAUAUCGAAAAAUAAAAUAAAAAGAGAUUAUAUAUUUACUUUUAUUGAUAGUAUCCUUUAAUUUUAUUAUAUUUAUUUGUAUUUUGAAAUUAAUAUAAUAUAAGAUCAUUUUUAUUUUUAUUUAUAUAAUUGUUUUAAUUAUAGCUGUUGAAUGUAGAGAUUUUUGUCAAAUACUACGUUGUGAUGCAUGCAGGAUUUAGUAAAUUUGAAGGUUAUCAGUCUCUUCUGUUCUAAGAACCUUGUAAGAAUCCCAGACCUCUCCAACGCCACCAAUCUUGGAAAGAUAUACCUUAACCGGUGUUUUAACUUGUGUGAGCUUCCUCCAUCCCUUCAGCAUCUUGAGAAGCUAACUCAUUUGGACUUCAGUUACUGUAAAAAUAUUAGAUCUCUGCCUAGCUUGUAUAAAGCCACAUCCCUCACCAAACUUGAUCUUAGUGGCUGCUCAAAUCUGUUAAGUUUUCCAGAGGUUUCAUCGAAUGUAACAGAGCUAUGGUUAGAUGGAACUGCAAUUGAAGAAGUUCCUUCCUCCAUCGAAUGUCUCUCUAAUCUUCGUGUAUUCAGCCUAUGGGGAUGCAAGAGGCUUAAAUCUCUCCCCACAAGUAUUCAUAAAUUGAAAUCUCUUGAAAAAUUCAAUCUUAGAGAUUGCUUAAGAUUGGAGACUUUUCCAGAAAUCUUGGACAUCAUGGAGAGGUUGAGAGAUCUUGAUUUGAGCGGAACGGCUUUGAAGGAAUUACCAUCUUCAAUUGACAAUUUUAUUGGUCUUGAAUAUUUGAGAUUGAACAACUGUGAAAACCUUAUUUGUCUUCCUAACGGCUUUUAUAAAUCGAAAUCUCUUUGGGGACUUGAUAUUUGUGGUCGUUCAAAUCUUGUUGUAAAAAACUUGUUUUCUGCCAUUGGAGGCAGACCAGUGAAGCUGAAAGAUCUCCACGGGUUAUCCUCAUUGUACAAAUUAGAUUUAUCUGAAACCAAUCUUGAGAGCUUACCUACAACCAUCAAACAAUUUCCUUGGCUGCAAGAGUUAAUCUUGUGGAAUUGCAAGAGAUUGAAAUCAUUACCAGAGCUUCCCCCAAGCCUAGGACAUUUGGAUGCAGAUAGCUGCACUUCACUAGAGGAAGUGUCCAGCAUUAAAAAGCUUUUUGAGCAAGCACUGUUCUGUCAAGAUGAACCAUAUCGAUGCUUGAAGUUGAUAUUUACCAAUUGCUUCCAACUGAAUGAGAAAGGUGUGGGGAAUCAUGGAACACCAAAGUUGGAGACGCCAUUUAAGCAAACGGUGAAUGUACUAAAAGAUUAUCAUAAGGUCAGCUUCUUCUUCUUCUAUAUAUAUCUUCAAUGUGGACAAUUGAUAUUUAUAUGCAUUGCUGAAUAAUCUAUCAUGUUUCUGAUAAUUGUAAUUGAACAGGCAUCCCCUCAGAGACAUAAGUUUAUUACAUGCGUCCCUGGAAGUGAAAUCCCGGAAUGGUUUGAUUUCAAGAGCUUAGGAUCUUCCAUAAACAUCCAAUUGCCUUCAGAGUGGUGGAUAAACUUUCCAUCUUUUGUUGCUUCCGUCGUUGUUUCAUUCCCAGGGCGUUAUAAUGGUAGGAAUUUUGGCAUUAGAUGUGAAUGUCAUCUAAAAUACUAUAAUGGCGACAGUCAUGACCUUACUUGUUCAUUCUCCCUUUGGGGGGUGGGAGUACUAAACCAUGAAGACCGAAUGUUUGGGUGGGAUCACAUGUUCCUCUUAUAUGAUGAUUUCAAAGUUUGGGAGUUCGUUGAAAGCCAGGCAUCAAACAAGUGCAUUUACAAUGAGGCUUCCUUUAAAUUCUACCCUCUUCAUUAUGGGUCGAAACUAAGGAAUAGUUCUUUGGAGAUAAAACAGUGCGGGGUUCAUCUAUUAUUUGCAAAUUAAGGAUUCAAUGUAUGACAUCUCAAUGAUGCUUCAUAUAUUUCAUCUGCAGUGAAUUUCAAACCCUAAAUAUGUUGUUAAUAUAUAUUUUGUUAAUAUAUAUUUAUCAUAGGUUUUAUUUAUAAAUGUUUAUUUUUCACUCAAAUUUUUAUAUCUUUUUUUUUUUCAUUUUUCAUUUCCUUUUGUUCAAACACAAUUAGAAAUUUAAGGCAUAUCUAAAUGGAUUUAAAUAAAUAUUUAUAACUCAAUGGACAUACUUUAAAAAUAGUAGAAAAAGUUCUAAAUAAAAUUAUAUAAUAAAUCAUAUUUUAUAUUAUUUUUAAGAUAUAAGUGAUUUUUUUUGUCCAAAAUAAAAUAGAUUGCAGUUUUGAAUCAUGAACCAAGAAGAAAAAAAAAAAGACAACAAUUAAUAUUUUUGACUAUUUAUAUAACUGGAUAUAUAUAUAUAAUACAAAACUUAGUUAAAUGGCAAGAUUCAACCUUGAGAAAUUUUUUGGUAAGGCAACAUUGAGAAAUUUAACAUCUUGUAAUAAUUGACUUUAUUAAAACAUAAACAAAAGAAAACAUAGUUCAAAAUUUUGGGUUUUGUUCUUGUGCUAUGAUUCUUUCUUUUGCUAAGUUUUUUUCCCCUCUUUUACCAAGAGGCUAAAAUCUAAAGAUUACAAAAGAACUAAAAUAUUUUAGGAAUAAUAUUUGAUGUGUCGUUAAUUAGUACAUAAAUUUCAUGUACUUUUAUUAAAUAAUAACAUGACAUGUCAUUAUUAAGUUAAACAAAAAAAUAUGAAAGAUUUUUAAAUAAAUAGUAAUAAUUUUAUUUAAACAUGAUUAAACAUUAAUAGCAACUAUUAUAAAUAAAUAUUAAUAAAUCUAAAAUUUAGGGUAUCAAGUUUAAGGGUCUUGAGUUUAAAGUCUAAAGGUAGUAUUUAUUUAUAAUUAAUUACUAUUUAAUGUUUAUAUUGGAGUCGUUUUUAACACAUAUGUGCAUGGGAAUAUGACUCUAAAAAUAUUUCUAAAUAUAUAGAAAAGUUUAAGGGAAUAAUUUAUAUUAGGAUGAUCCUAAUAACUAAAAUUUUUAGGCACCAAUAAAUUUUAAAGACAUGAAAUUAUUAUUAUACACUCAUCUAUAGAGAAAUUAUUUUAUGGACUCUUCUCACCAUAUUAUUCAUGAUCUAUUUCCAAUUAUUUAAUAACAUUUUAACAAUUUUUAUGUCAUUGACACAUAAUUUUGGUAAUUUUUUACCCUGAACCCAAACCCAUAACCUUGAACCUUAAAUCUUGAACAUGAACCCACAACCUCAAACCCUUAAACCCUGAAUCUUAAACCCAAAAUUCAAACUCGAACCCUAAACCUUAAAUCUUGAACCCAAAUCCUAAACUUCGGGAUUCAAGGUUUAAGAUUUAGGGUUAGAGUUUAAGGUUCGAGAUAAAAUAAUUACCAAAAUUAUGUGUCAAUGACAUGGAAAAUAUUGCACUAAAAUUAUUAUUUUUAAAUUGGUUGCAUAAAAAAAUAACUUAUGGAAAAAAAUAUUAAAAUUUGUAAAAUGAGAAAAAAAAAUGUUUGUUUAUAAUUUGAAAAAUUAAUUAUUUUAAGUAAUUUAAUUAAAGUUAAAUUAAGUUGGAAAAGAUAUUAGAUAUAAAUGAGUAUAUAAUAAUACUUUGUUAUCUUUAAAAUUUAAUGACAUGGUACUAUUUAAUUGGUGUCUAAAAACUAUAGAUGAUCCUAAUAUAAUUUAUUCCCAAAAUUUAAAUAUAUUUAUGUCGGACACAUGUAUAUAUAUAUAUCUAAUAUUUAAAUCCGAUUCCAAACCACUAGAUUUUCAUCAGCCAAAACCUAAUCUUGUUUAAAAAUUUGCAAAACUAGUUUUUAUCACUUCUUAGAGGAGCACAAUCAAACAUAUUCUCAAACUGCGCACUAAUCUCUCAUUACCCUUUUUAAGAAAUGAGAAUUGCAUUAUUUUUUAGAGCAUCGUUUCUUACAAACUAUAUAUUCCAUUAUCACCAGAAGCUCCAUUGCUGCAACAAAAUUAUUUUGUUUGUAAAUAUUCGUUUUGAAUGGUAGAUAUUAUGUGAUGGUAUGAGGAGGGUAAAUACAUGUUAUACUAUUUUUUCUUUAACAAUGCAUCUGAGAAGGUUUUUAAUAAUGCAUCAUGUUAUACGUAUUAUAAAUAUAUGUACUCUUUUUCUUCAUUAGAAAAUUUUUUCCACAUGAUUUUUAUGUUAGUAAGGUUUUAAUGAGACACAUUAUCUAUCAAUAGACAUCAAACGAAAAACGUUAUGAAUAUUUUAUUAUUAAGUGAAUGUCAACAAUAUCAAGAUAAGUUUGAUAUACUCUUGUAAUAGUCAUUAGAAGUAGAAUUUUGUUUUAUUUAUAUUUUUUAUGUCCAUAAAUAAAAAAUUUAAAAAAGCAUAAUAAACAUUUUUAUUGAUGUAACAUUAAUGUGACAAUCUAUGUCUAUAACAAAUAAACAUGAUAGUAUAAAAAAUUGAUGUGAUAAAUGUAAUGUGUAAAUAAAAUUAACACAGACAAAAUUAAGAAUAAAAUUAAAAAAGAGUCAAAAUAUUAAAAUAAAAAUUAUUAUAAAUUAAUAAACCAAUUCAUUAAUAAAAAAAAAUAUUUUUUUUAAUUCUAUAAGUUUGAUUUAGGCAUUUAAAUUUUUUUGUUAACUCUAUUUAUAAUUUUUAAAUAUAAAUUGAAAUAAAAAUUGUAUAUUUUUUUACUUUUAACUUGGGAGGAAGGGUUAAAACAUUAUAGUAUAAAUGGUCUCCGAAGACUCAGCUUUCAAUUUGUUGGAGGCUCUUAAAAGUAGUCCAAUUAUUUUCUGUCUAUGGUCCACACGCUUUUGCAGUUGAUGUAAGCGUAGUUGACUUAAAAAACAAUAGUUGUACUCAGAAUCCAAAAAUCUUUCAUCAAAUCCGGCGGAACACCAAUAUGCUUCCUUCAACAUCUUCUUCUUCUGCUGCUGCAGAUACGAACAAAGAAAGGACAUGCGACGUUUUCCUUAGCUUCAGAGGCGAGGAUACUCGUUGUAGUUUCGUAAGUCAUCUGUAUAAGGAUUUGUGUCGAAAGAAUAUCGGAACUUUUAUAGACAGCGAGAAGCUUCAAAGAGGAGAUGGAAUUUCAGAGUCACUGUUGACGGCCAUUCAAGGAUCGAGGAUUUCAGUCAUUGUUUUCUCCAAAGACUACGCUUCUUCCAGAUGGUGCUUGGAGGAGCUGGUCAAGAUCAUGGACUUCAAGAAGUUGAAAGGGCAUUAUUUUGUGGUUCCUGUAUUUUACGGUGUAGAUCCCUCAGAUGUACGGAAACAAAGAGGGAGUUUUGCGGAUGCAUUUGCAAAGCAUGAAGAAAAUUUCAAGCAUGAUGUUGAAAAGGUGAAAUCCUGGAGAAGUGCUUUGACUUCUGCUGCCGAUUUAUCUGGUUGGGAUUCACAAGUCACUCGGUAAUUGCAACUCCUUUUCUUUACAUUCUAUCCUUUUUUAAUUGUUAUUGUUAUAUAUAGAGAGAGAGAGAGAGAGAAUUUUGAAGUUUUUUUUUUUUUUUCACAUUUGAUUAUUUUAUUGGAUGAUGUAGUUUAUAAAAAAGAAAUGUGAAAUAGGAUAAGGGGAUAGAUAAAAUGAUAUUAAAGAAGCUAAAGUCACAAAAAGAAUUUUUGACUUGCCAAACAUAGAAUAUAGAAUUAAUGUAUAGUACAAGAAUCAAAAUAUGUAUAUACUACCCUGUUCGAGUUGAGGGUGGAUAUUUGACAUGAAGGAUAAUUUUUACAAUUUUACCAUAUUUUAAAGCUUAAAAUUUUCUAUUACUAGAUUUAAUUUUUAUAUUUUAAUUUAAUUAUUUUAGUUCUUAUAUUUUUUUAAUUGGUCAAUUUAGUUCCUAUAUUUUUUAAAUUUUAAAAUUUUAGUUUUGACCUAAACCAUAGCAGUUAAGUUCAUUUAGGAUUUGUUUAUUUAACUGAAAAUGACUUUCUUAAAAAUGAUUUACUUUUAUUGAGAAGCUAAUAUUUUUUAGAAUUUUCAAAAAAUGUCUUAUGCUUUUCAAGAGAGUAAGUCAUUUUGGGAAAAUACCUGUAAGUCAUUUUCUGUUGAUCAAAUUAUUUUCUGUGAAACAAAUAAACACAGGAAAAUACAAAAAAAUAUUUUUUGUAAAACAUUUUACAUGUAAACAAACAAACAUUUGGUUAAACUCAAUUACUAGUCAUGUAUUAUGCAUACAGUUCUAGAUUUAGUAUAUUAUUCAAUUGGAUCAUUUUAAGUCAUUAUAUUUUCAAAUUUUGAAAUUUUAAUCUUGAGGCAAAUAAUAAUUGUUAACCUAUAGUGGAAAUUACAAGCUGGCCUGACAUUACAAAUAUAUGAUAGGUUUGUUGCAUUAGAUUUGAAAAUGACAAAACUUAAUUAAUGAAUUUAACAAUUAUCAUCUGGUAAGUACUGGAAUUUUAUAAUUUGAAAAGUAUAGAGAUUAAAAAUAACCAAAUUAAAGUAUAGAGAUUAAAUCCAUAAAUUUCAUAAAGUGUAGGCUAUCUAAAAUUCCUUUUAAGUUUUCCAAAUAUUAAAAAAACAUGAAAAUGCAAAAAAAAGAAAAGAAAAGAAAUAUAUAAAAAAAUUGAAAAAAAAUCUAUUCUUCUUUAAAUAUCAAGUUUAUUAUAUUAUUUUCUUUACCCUCACUUUCUUUUCCUUUAAAUAUAUAUUGAUUUGGAAGAAAAUAGAUUAAGCUUGGACCUUUUUUUCAAGCAGUGAUUCAUGUAUGUUACCCAGAUUGGAGUUAAGGGGCAGAUUCUGAAUAACAUGCCAAGCAUCUACAUUGAACAAUGUUAAUCAAUUGAAUACUCUUUAUCAUCUUUAUUUAUUUACUUAUGUUUCCUUUUUAUUUCUCCCAUAAUUUGUUUCUUCAUUUAAAAUAUAGGCCUGACUCAACACUGGUAGAUAAAAUCGUCAAAGAUAUAUUAAAGAAACUGGAUUGUAGAACCUCAAGCCCUAAUUUAAAGGGUUUAGUUGGAAUUGAGCGGCGGACGCAACAAGUUGUGUCAUUAUUUCAGGUUGGAGAUCUUCUAAAGCUAGGUAUUUGGGGUAUGCAAGGUAUAGGCAAAACUAAACUUGUUGAAGCAAUUUUUUGCCAUGUUUUAAAUGGUUUCCAAAACCACUCCUUUCUGGCAAACGUGAGAGAACAUAAAGAAUCAAGAAAUUUAUCCCAAUUGCGUCAGAAAUUUCUUUCAGACAUACUGGAAGAUGAAAAUUUAGAUAUCUCAACACCCACAAUCAUACCAAGCUUUGUUAAGGACAGGCUUUCUAGAAAGAAGGUUUUAGUAGUUUGUGAUGAUGUGUCAGAGUUAAGCCAAUUCGAGUUUUUAUUCGGAGGAAUCCGAUCGGUUCGGCCGUGGAAGUCUACUCAUUGUUACCACUAGAAAUAGGCAAGUGCUUUUCCAGUGUGGCAUGAAUCUCAUUUAUGAAGCCAAGAAAUUAAAUAAAUAUGAAUCUAUUCAGCUCUUUUGCCAACAUGCCUUCAAAAGCAAUCAUCCUAUAGAAUAUCAGUUGGGGCUAUCACGGAUGGUUUUAAGUUUUGCUAAUGGAAACCCAUUGGCUAUUAAAUUUUUCGGGUCCCCUCUUUAUGGAAAGAACAAGAACUACCAGGAAAGAGCAGUAAAAGAACUAAAGCAGAUUCCUAACCCAGACAUUCUUAAAUUGUUCAGAAGCAGUUUUGAUGGACUAAAUCCUGUAGAGAAAGACAUAUUUCUUGACAUUGCUUGUUUCUUUAAAGGGGAGGAUCGAGACUUUGUAACAAGGAUUAUGGAGGCCUGUUAUCCUUCUGCAUAUUCAAGAAUUGAGAACCUCAUUGAUAAGUCUCUCAUAUAUAUUUCACAAAAUAAAAUAGAAAUGCAUGAUAUAUAACAACAGUUGGGUUGCAAUAUUGUUCACUAUGAAUCACCUUCAAAGCCUGAAAAUCGCAGUAGGCUGUGGAUUCCUGAAGAGAUCUAUGAUGUGCUAACAAAAAACAAUGUAAGGGACUUGUUCAUUUUCUCUGAACAAAUCCAUGUUUGACAGUCAUGUUUUAGUCUUAUUCGAACACACAUCUUUUUAUUAAAUACAUACAUGCAUAUGAUAAUUAUCUUGAAUUAAUAUAUUGCCUAUAUUUUGACUCCAUAAACUGCUCUUGGGUUUAGGGAACGGAAACGCUCACAGGCAUUGUACUUGAUAUGUCCAAACUUGAAAAGUUGGAAUUGGAACCAAUAGCAUUUAUGAAGAUGCGGAAGCUUAGAAUCCUCAAAUUCUAUAAUUCGUGUGGAAGAACCUUACUUUUUAAAGAGCUUUUAUCACUUCCUGACGAGCUAAGGUACCUUUGCUGGGAGGGAUAUGAUGGGAAGAAACCGAACAACCGAAACAAAGCGAAAGCACAACCGGUGUUCUUUCUCUCCUUAUAACUCCUGUAAAAAAUUAUGGCAAGCACAAUAGCACAAGAUAUGUUCUCUAGCAACCUUAAUCAACCACAAAUCAACUAAUGCAACCACAACAAAAAUAAAUAGAGACACCAAUAUUUUUACGUGGAAAAACCCCUCUAAAUUAAGGGUAAAAACCACGGGACUUUAGAGUCCGAUAAAGAGCUCCACUAUCAUCAAAUGUUCAACUACAAGAUCACAAUAUCAAGCCUACAACAAGCAUUCAACUCCGACAAGGCUAACAACAUGUAAUCUUUAGCAAAAGAGAGAAAAAUGAGAGAACAUCACCAAAAACGUAGCUACUGAAAAAUGGGUAUUUCCGACGCUACAAGACUCGGAUGAAAAAUCCGACCGUACAAAGUCAAGAACACCUUAUCACCUAGCUGCUGUCCAAAAAUCAGCUCAAUCGAACCACGGAUGGACCUUCGAUCGAAGAGUUGAUCACUGCUGCACCAAGCUUGAAAAUCUGAUUUUUUCUAUUCUCUUUCUCUCUAUUUUUCUUUUAGCUCUCUGCAGAAAAAUUUCUGCCCACUCCCGUUAAUAAGCCAAAAAGAAUUGGCUUUUGACAAAACCAAAAGAAAAAGGGAAGGCAAAACAUUUGUGCCAGAAAAUAUGGGUUUCCCACAUAGUGGGACCCAUACCCAACAAAUCUCCCCCUCCAACUAUGUGGGGAAUGCCUCCAUACCGGAGGUCAAACAACAUGCUUCAAAUUUUCCUCUUGGUAAGGCCUUCGUCAACAUAUCAGCACCAUUAUCAUUAGUGUGUAUCUUCUCAAGCUCUAACAACUUAGCUUCAAGAACAUCUCGUAUCCAAUGGUACCUCACAUCAAUAUGCUUAGAUCUAGCAUGAAAAGUUGAGUUCUUACCAAGAUGAAUAGCACUCUGGCUAUCACAGUACAGGACAUACUUCUCCUGAGUAAAACCAAGCUCAUGCACAAACUUCUUCAUCCAAAGCAUCUCCUUACACGCUUCGGUUGCUGCAAUGAACUCUGAUUCGGUGGUGGACAAUGCAACACACUUUUGCAGUCUCGAUUGCCAUGCCACAGCUCCCCCUGCAUAAGUGAUUAAGUAACCUGAAGUAGAUCUCCUCGAGUCAAUGUCUCCAGCCAUGUCUGAAUCUGUAUACCCAACAAGAACAGGUUUCUCAUUGCCGAAACAAAGUUUCAUGUUGGAAGUGCCACGAAGAUAUCUCAUAAUCCACUUCACUGCAUUCCAAUGCUCUCUGCCUGGAUUAGAAAGAAACCGACUAACUGUACCAACGGCAUAAGCCAAGUCUGGUCUCGUGCAAACCAUUGCGUACAUCAAACUACCCACGGCUGAAGAGUAAGGAAUUUUCUGCAUCUCUUCCUUCUCCUUUUCUGUGGAAGGACUAUGCUUAACACUCAAUCUGAAGUGCAUAGCAAAGGGAGUAUUCACCGCUUUAGCUUUGUCCAUACUAAACCUUUGAAGUACUUUCUCAAUGUACCUCUCUUGUGAUAACCAUAAUUUCUUGGCCUUUCUAUCACGUGUCAGUCUUAUGCCAAGAAUUUGCUUUGCUGGCCCCAAAUCCUUCAUUGCAAAGGAUUUACUCAACUCUUGUUUCA
Molecule: long non-coding RNA, 12638 nt
Filed under: Gossypium barbadense (sea-island cotton)
Lineage: Eukaryota; Viridiplantae; Streptophyta; Magnoliopsida; Malvales; Malvaceae
Description: long non-coding RNA (GBAR_LNC010911)
Source: RNAcentral